Molecule: ribosomal RNA, 813 nt
Filed under: Verrucomicrobia bacterium SCGC AAA164-N20
Lineage: Bacteria; Pseudomonadati; Verrucomicrobiota
Also listed under: 1 other name
Description: bacterial SSU rRNA
Rfam family: Bacterial small subunit ribosomal RNA
Source: RNAcentral
UAUUCGGUAGCAAUACUGGGUAUUUUUAGUGGCGAAAGGGUGCGUAACACGUGGGUAAUCUACCGUAAAGUUCGGAAUAACUUCGAGAAAUCAAAGCUAAUACCGAAUGUGAUCUGACAGGGACAUCCCUGUUCCAUUAAAGCUAGGGACCUUCGGGCCUGGCGCUUUAUGAUGAGCCCGCGCCCUAUCAGCUUGUUGGUGAGGUAAAAGCUCACCAAGGCUAAGACGGGUAGCCGGUCUGAGAGGACGAUCGGCCACACUGGAACUGAGACACGGUCCAGACACCUACGGGUGGCAGCAGUCGAGAAUCAUUCACAAUGGGGGAAACCCUGAUGGUGCGACGCCGCGUGGGGGAUGAAGGUCUUCGGAUUGUAAACCCCUGUCAUUUGUGAACAAACCUUUUGGUUUAAUAGAUCAAAAGCUGAUAGUAGCAAAAGAGGAAGGGACGGCUAACUCCGUGCCAGCAGCCGCGGUAAUACGGAGGUCCCAAGCGUUGUUCGGAUUUACUGGGCGUAAAGGGUGCGUAGGUGGCCAGGAAAGUUUGAUGUGAAAGCUCCGAGCUCAACUCGGAAAAUGCAUUGAAUACUACUUGGCUUGAGGAUCGGAGGGGAGACUGGAAUUCUCGGUGUAGCAGUGAAAUGCGUAGAUAUCGAGAGGAACACCAGUGGCGAAGGCGAGUCUCUGGACGAUUCCUGACACUGAGGCACGAAAGCUAGGGGAGCAAACAGGAUUAGAUACCCUGGUAGUCCUAGCCGUAAACGGUGCACACUUGCUGUAGGAGGAUUCGACCCCUUCUGUGGCGGAGCAAACGCG